GGGGGGUCACGACAAACCUCGGGAGUUUGCAAGCACAGGCACACUCGAAGCUCGAAGAGGAUGUCACGAAUUCGCAAGCCACCCUUGUAUAAACAAACGUCUGUUGAGAACUUUGGUCUAUUGGCAGCAGAUUCUGGAAUGCAACAUUGACUGUUUUAUUAUGCUUGGCUGAUGUUAACAUUGAAUUUUGGAUUUAUUGUAAUGUGGCACUUAAACAUUAGAUUUACUUUGGAAUUUUACAAUGAGUAUAAUGGAACUAUACAAAUGCAAUCUAACUGUUUUUGUUAUUCCACCAUGAUCUCCAAAAUACCUCAAAAUGGAAAAGGGCUUUCACGCUUAUCUGCACCUGGGCUUCCACAUCCAGUCUUAUCUGCACCUGGAUUUCAUCAUUGGAUGGUGCCAGGUCUUGGAUUUCAUGAUUCUUUGCUGUCAGAGCCUGAUGCCGAUGACAUAAAACACCUUAAAGCAUACACGAUGGUUCCUCCAACUGCCAGAGCAACUACUUCACCCAGGAGAAAUCUCGACAACAACGAUCCCACCCCAUGA
RNAcentral lists this long non-coding RNA (546 nucleotides) under Eptatretus burgeri (inshore hagfish). RNAcentral describes it as "lncRNA (ENSEBUG00000017461.1)". The record is from RNAcentral. Lineage: Eukaryota; Metazoa; Chordata; Myxini; Myxiniformes; Myxinidae.